GUGACAGCUGGCAGUAUGUGGUGGCCACUCUGCUGGACCUCUCCCCAUGGAACCCAGGUCCCUGCUGUGGAAAGGAUCCGUGUUCCUGCGCUUUUCAUCCGGUUUUGCCAUUGCUCAUUUGCACGCCUGCUGUGAUUCCUUGAGAGGGCUUGUAUUGUGCUCAUUUGUGAGUCUGCAGCACACUGCCUGCACGCAGGGUGCUCUCCCUCCAUAGGGCUGCCCAGCAAGUGAUCAAACAGGUCUCCUCCCAGAGUCUGACCUUGACGCUUGGGGUUUCUACUACCCAAAAGUGGGACACAGAGCGUGCAUUCUGGUGCAGGAAUCUUAGAGAGAUGUAAUUCUAGCCGAAUUACAAGAGAGGUGGAAGGAAACCAUGAGUUACUUUUUGAUUUGGGGAACGAGGAGGUGGUUUGGAAGAAAUUGGCCAUAGGAAAGACACAGCCCCAAAGUGGACCCUUAACAAGCAGAAUCCUGCACCUGGGGCUGGCGUGUGAGUGUGUGGGGUGAGGAUCUUCUGAGUGAAAAGGCUCGGCCCUUGCAUUUCAUGGAAAAGGUCACUAGUGUCAUCAGACAUUUUGGGCAGAAUCAAGCACGGCGCCUACAUCCGCAUCCGGCACCCUUGUUACUUACUGUAACAAGGAGCGUUUCCAGUCCCGGCAACAGCCUCGAACCCUCAAAGCCAAUGACUCCAGAAAUGAAGACGUUUGUACAGCGGAAUACGAUUCAGCCACGAAAUGGGACCGAGGGCUGAUCCUCGCUACAACACGGGCAAACCUUGAAAACGAUACAAACGAAAGAGAUCACACACUCGAAAGGGCCAUGUGUUGUGUGAUUCCAUUUAUGGGCAAUGUCCAGAAGAGGACACAGAGAGCAGGUGUGUGGCAGCCAGGGGCUGGGGGCUGGAGGGGACAGAGGGCUGGCUGCUUACGUAGAUGAGGUUUUAUUUUGGGGGGUGUUGGAAAUGCUUCGAGCUAGGUAGAGGCAGUGGUUGUGCAACAUGAGGUGUGUGCUGAAUGCCACAGAAUGGUUCACUUUAAAAGGGAGGGGGGGUGGGUGGAGGGCAGCCCGGGUGGCUCAGCAGUUUAACGCCGGCUUCAGCCCAGGGCCUGAUCCUGGAGACCUGGGAUCGAGUCCCGCAUCGGGCUCCCGGCAUGGAGCCUGCUUCUCCCUCU
RNAcentral lists this long non-coding RNA (1172 nucleotides) under Vulpes vulpes (red fox). Its description in RNAcentral is "lncRNA (ENSVVUG00000005978.1)". The record is from RNAcentral. Lineage: Eukaryota; Metazoa; Chordata; Mammalia; Carnivora; Canidae.